Molecule: ribosomal RNA, 253 nt
Filed under: uncultured bacterium
Lineage: Bacteria
Description: partial 16S ribosomal RNA
Rfam family: Bacterial small subunit ribosomal RNA
Source: RNAcentral
UACGUAGGGUGCGAGCGUUAAUCGGAAUUACUGGGCGUAAAGUGUGCGCAGGCGGUUUUAUAAGCCAGAUGUGAAAUCCCCGGGCUUAACCUGGGAAUGGCGUUUGGGACUGGGUCGCUAGAGUGUAGCAGAGGGAGGUGGAAUUCCACGUGUAGCAGUGAAAUGCGUAGAGAUGUGGAGGAACACCGAUGGCGAAGGCAGCCUCCUGGGCCAGCACUGACGCUCAUGCACGAAAGCGUGGGGAGCAAACAGG